GACUCUCAACUCAACAAGCGGAUAAAAGGAGCGAAAAUAAGUUGUUUAAUAAAAUUUCAUUUUGCUAAAUAUUCCUUUUUUUUAAAAAGAAAAAAAACGUACAUUACCCUAUUUAAGUAUAUUCUUGUAAUAAACAACAGCAGGAGGGUGUUUGGGACAUUAAACUUGGAUAAUAUUUACCUUGUCCUGUCUGUCACUGAAAUAGUUGGCUAUUUCCAACUUUGAAAUGAAAAUUUUUAAAAUUGCUCCUGUAAAUUCCAUUUUUCUUUUUCUAUUUUUUAAAAAAGGGGAUUAAUGUUCACUUGGCUUUGAACCUAGCCAGAGAUUUCUGUAUGCUUGUGAGGAGGGAGAAAGUUAUUCCAAACUAGAGUAAUUUCAUUCCAAUCCACCUGUCUGAGGUCUGCGUCUUGAAACGCUGCAAUGGCGCCUGUGAAAACUAAAGGAGCUGUUGUAUCUUUGAUCUCAGUGUCCAUGGUAGUGCUCUCAUGCAUGCUCUGCAAAUACACAUCCAAAGAAAAAAACAAUUCAUUUUUGACUCAUAGAUGCUGUGGGUACCUUGAGCUAUUGGCCGUGAAGUAUCUUGUAAAUAAGGUCUUUUUCUGGGGAGCUCUUCGCCCAUGAAUUGCUUGGGGACUGUCAUGCACAAUCAUUGGCUUUGAUCACAUCAUUGUAACCAUUUUAUGCAGUAUGGGGAUGAGGCAUCUUAGGAAAUUCUAUAGUCCAAAGCAUCUAUCAAAGAGCGGUUCGAAACCAAUUGCAUUUGGUUUGGAGUUUCUUGGUAUAAUGAAGAUUUGGCUGGCCAAGAUCUUAAUCUUUGUCCACGGUAAAGGUAAUGCAAGAUGCUCAUUGCAAAGGUUUCAAGGCUGUAGUGUAACUGUGAAUGUUUGAUUUGGAAAUUCUGGAGAUGCAAUACCGAGCAGUGAUGUUACACAGAUUGAUCACUAUUCUUUAUAAGGAUUAGAACAUUAUUUUGUUACAGAAUAGUGCAUACAAGGAUUAUUUUUGGUUGAGUUGUGUUUGUCGCAAUGUUGAUGAGGAAAUCUUUGUGCUUUACUUUUUCUCUAUAUAUAGAUCAUUUCACGUCAA
Molecule: long non-coding RNA, 1086 nt
Organism: Manihot esculenta (cassava)
Lineage: Eukaryota; Viridiplantae; Streptophyta; Magnoliopsida; Malpighiales; Euphorbiaceae
Exons: 2
Source: RefSeq, a predicted model, not a curated record